Panicum virgatum (switchgrass) is the source of this 2129-nucleotide long non-coding RNA. RefSeq lists it as uncharacterized. The transcript has 6 exons. Lineage: Eukaryota; Viridiplantae; Streptophyta; Magnoliopsida; Poales; Poaceae. The record is from RefSeq and is a predicted model, not a curated record.
GCUGGUUGCGGCGGGGCUGCUUUUGCUGGCCUACAGCGGCGAAUCGGCCACCCGAUCUGGGCGUCGAUGAUGCCGCUGCCUCUGCUCCCCUCUUCCUGGUGCAGGGCGAAGACGCAAUGGUGGUGGCGAACGUGCGGUUUAUGGGACUCGCGGCGGUGCCCUUCUCCAUGGCCUCGCCCUCCUGCGCGGGCGCAUCCUCUGCUCUGCGCCACCUGGACGGCCAGUUCUGCAGCUCGUCAGCGCGCUCUAACGCGUGCUCAGCAACUUCCGUGUACGCCUCCCGACCUCCACGACGCGCUCCACGGCUUCGCAGGGCGUGACGGAGCCUCUGCUCGCAUCCUCAUUCGACGUCGUGCUCUGGGGCAAGGGGCUCCCGGAGUCCGUGCUCGCCGCCGCUGGUAAGACAGUCCUCCAUGUCUAUCCCAGUCUGUUCUACGGCUCCCUCUAUUCCUCCAUCCUGCUCUCCUCCUUCCUGUCCUUCCUCUCCCUGACCCUUCUCCGUCUUCAUUGACCGCGGUGGCGGCGGCGGCGGCCGGCUCCUAUUCAUACACCGUCGUCGAUCUACACCGCCGCGGCGUGUACUCGGAUUUCGCGACCUUGCCGACCAGCCCCUUAUGCUGCCCCCUUGGACUCUGAUCAGCAUCCCAUUCACGGAUAGGAAUUUGGAAGGGGAAGGAGAGGUAAAUUUCUAAGCCUAUAUUUUUUUCCCUUGAUCAUGCCCGCCUAUUUAUUGCAUAUUGUGAAUGGAAGAGCAGCCAAUCUAAUUCUUUGCUUGAUCAAUGUAUGCCAUUCCUUUGUCUUAUUUCCGGUUGAACAUCAAAUUUUUUAUUGCAUUAGCAUAUGGAAUAUAUUCUAAAGGAGUUGCACAUCAUAUGUUCGAUGCCUAUGUCAGAUGUUUAGGCACUGCUGUCAUUUUUAAAACCUGCAUUUCAUCAGCAAAGCUACCUCGAGGCUAUCCAGGAAACAUGUCUGAUCUUUAUUUCGGUUUUGCAAAUCUAUACUUGAAUGUCCUGAGAAUUAUUUACUUGCCCAAAUGCCUCCUUUCGCUUUCAUUUCUAAAUUAAAACAGCAACAUUUCUAUGCCCAAUUAUUUCUAUGCUGUGCUUACUUUUUAAAGCUGCUCAAAAUCAGAGAUUAAAAUUGAUUCUUUUUGCAUCUAUAACUGCAGAUUAAGGAAAUGCUUUUUACUGUAAAAUGGGGCAAGGAUAUUAGAUUGUGCAUUUUCAUAUUUUGUUUCUUUAUGCUAGGAUAGAUAUAUGUCCAUUUAACUUCACAGUGCUCAGUGAAAUUAUUAUGGAGUGACUAAGACUACAAUACAAGCAAGCUCACCAAUGACCAAACUGCGAAGGCAUUCUAAUUAAUCUGAGCAAGAUCUCACUGUUGGAUCUGCGGGAAAAAAAACACAGUUUCUCCUCUAAUAAAGGGUGUGCCUGGACAAGUCAACAAGAAUAACCAAGCAGCUUAAGGUAUUCUAAGAGGCCAUUGAAAUCAGAUUUCCUUAUCAGUUUGAUGGGGUGUCAUCGGGUCCAGAUGAUUUAGUAAUUGUCAUAGCGAUUUGCUCCUGCUGCAUCCACAUUUAAUAGCGCGCUCUAUAUAACUGAUCAGCAGAAAGGUAUGAUCCAAGGGAAGGUUUCUGGGCGCUGCUUCCAAGUAUGAGCGUGAGAAGAGGAUCCCACUGACCCACUCGGUAGCUGUCUUGGGGGAUGCCCCGUAUGCUGUGGGAGGGUAUGAUGGAAGCAACAUGAUAUCUAACGUAGAGAUUUUUUACCUGUGCACUAAUUCAUGGAGAAUAUGCAGCCCAUUACAGGUUACAAUGGACGAUAAUUUGUUCUACAUUGGUGGGCACAGAUACAUCCUGCCAGCGACUGCAUUUCAACCGUCCUUGAUCCAAGUAUGAACACAGGGAAAACUGUUCUCAUGCCGGCAUUUUCCAAACUACUUAAUGCAGCUAUGUAACAUGGCCAGUUCCACCUAAAUACAAUGUCUGUUAAGUUAGUGAACCCUCCUAUUCUCCUACAGCUCCUUAGCUAUCCCAAUUGGAGAUUUAAAUUGUAAUAUAACAACUGCUCCUGUCAAAUACUUCUAUAUGUAUCAUCUGCAGUAGUUUAUCCAUAAACUAUUUAUCACUC